RNAcentral lists this long non-coding RNA (473 nucleotides) under Mytilus galloprovincialis (Mediterranean mussel). Lineage: Eukaryota; Metazoa; Mollusca; Bivalvia; Mytilida; Mytilidae. The record is from RNAcentral.
UUUAAUUCAUAUAGGUUGCAUUUCUGUAAAUAUUGACAAUGCAAUUUCCCAUAGGAACUCCUUUUACGGCUAAAACUGUACCACUUUUACUAUGAAGUUUUGAAAAAAUCUUAUCCUAGAAUUGAAAGUUCAUAUGCACCACAUUUUUUUUCAAAGGUCAAAAUAUAGGGCUGUGCGGCAUAUUUUCAACGUUUAUAUGCCCUGAACUUCUCAGAGUUUAAACUUACACUAAUUUUCUUAACUACCCCUACCUCGAAUGAAAGGUUACCACAGAUUUCAAUGUAAACAAUAUGCACGUGUUUAUUUACUGGUAACAUUCCCAAGUUCUGUCUCUGCGAUAUGGAACACAGGGAGCAUAACUGGGAACCAGUAUGUAAACAAAAUCAAUUUUCUAUGAAUAUUCAAUUACUCCCCAAAAGAGGCGUGUUUUGAGAAACAGCUGUAUUUACAAAGUGCAACCUAUACAGACAUUU